Molecule: ribosomal RNA, 368 nt
Filed under: Fletcherodrilus unicus
Lineage: Eukaryota; Metazoa; Annelida; Clitellata; Crassiclitellata; Megascolecidae
Description: partial 12S ribosomal RNA
Rfam family: Bacterial small subunit ribosomal RNA
Source: RNAcentral
UAAAACCCGGAUAUUACGAACAACAGUUUAAAAUUCAAAGAACUUGGCGGUGUCUUAUAAAACCAGGGGAACCUGUCUCAUAACUCGAUAGCCCACGAUUAAUUCAGCCCUCCCUUGAAUACCAGCCUGUGUACUGCCGUUGUAAGCACACCUCUAAAAGUAGUGUGCUACUAUGAUUGAACACAGUAAUAAAGCACAAACUCAUAGACAUCAGGUCAAAGUGCAGCCAAUGAGAGGGUGAUGAUGGGUUACAACCUAAAAAAAGAAAUGGAAUAAAAGCUAAAAAAAUUUAUAAAAGUGGACUUGGCCGUAAUUUAAUAAUAUCAUAGAAAAAUGAAUGCUCCUCUAAGACAUGUACACAUCGCCCG